CCCAGCAGCCAUAUCACCCUGCAGCUCACAACUAGCAGCCCACCGGAGCUCAGCAGGUGUGAGCCUGGUCAGUACCUCGAUGGGAGACCUCCUGGGAAAGCUAAGGCUGCUGCUGGAA
Molecule: ribosomal RNA, 118 nt
Filed under: Lepisosteus oculatus (spotted gar)
Lineage: Eukaryota; Metazoa; Chordata; Actinopteri; Semionotiformes; Lepisosteidae
Source: RNAcentral